Molecule: ribosomal RNA, 497 nt
Filed under: uncultured bacterium
Lineage: Bacteria
Description: partial 16S ribosomal RNA
Rfam family: Bacterial small subunit ribosomal RNA
Source: RNAcentral
GACGAACGCUGGCGGCGUGCCUAAUACAUGCAAGUUGAGCGCUGAAGGUUGGUACUUGUACCGACUGGAUGAGCAGCGAACGGGUGAGUAACGCGUGGGGAAUCUGCCUUUGAGCGGGGGACAACAUUUGGAAACGAAUGCUAAUACCGCAUAAAAACUUUAAACACAAGUUUUAAGUUUGAAAGAUGCAAUUGCAUCACUCAAAGAUGAUCCCGCGUUGUAUUAGCUAGUUGGUGAGGUAAAGGCUCACCAAGGCGAUGAUACAUAGCCGACCUGAGAGGGUGAUCGGCCACAUUGGGACGGAGACACGGCCCAAACGCCUACGGGAGGCAGCAGGAGGGAAUCGUCGGCAAGGGACGAAAGUCUGACCGAGCAACGCCGCGUGAGGGAAGAAGGGUGUCGGAUCGUAAAACUCGGUUGGUAGAGAAGAACGUUGGUGAGAGUGGAAAGCUCAUCAAGUGACGGUAACUACCCAGAAAGGGACGGCUAACUACGUG